UACGGGGGGGGCAAGCGUUGUUCGGAAUUACUGGGCGUAAAGCGCGUGUAGGCGGCUUGGCAAGUCAGAUGUGAAAGCCCUCGGCUUAACCGAGGAAGUGCGUCUGAAACUGCUGAGCUUGAGUGUCGGAGAGGAUGGCGGAAUUCCGCAAGUAGAGGUGAAAUUCGUAGAUAUGUGGAGGAACACCGAUGGCGAAGGCAGCCCCCUGGGUUAACACUGACGCUCAUGCACGAAAGCGUGGGGAGCAAACAGG
Molecule: ribosomal RNA, 253 nt
Filed under: uncultured bacterium
Lineage: Bacteria
Description: partial 16S ribosomal RNA
Rfam family: Bacterial small subunit ribosomal RNA
Source: RNAcentral